Molecule: ribosomal RNA, 507 nt
Filed under: uncultured bacterium
Lineage: Bacteria
Description: partial 16S ribosomal RNA
Source: RNAcentral
GGAGUUAGCCGGUGCUUCUUCUGUGAGUGAUGUCCUUCCUGCCGGUUAUUGACCCGCAGGCCUUCUUCCUCACUGAAAGUGCUUUACAACCCGAAGGCCUUCUUCACACACGCGGCAUGGCUGGAUCAGGGUUGCCCCCAUUGUCCAAUAUUCCCCACUGCUGCCUCCCGUAGGAGUCUGGGCCGUGUCUCAGUCCCAGUGUGGCUGAUCAUCCUCUCAGACCAGCUACGGAUCGUCGCCUUGGUGAGCCGUUACCUCACCAACCAGCUAAUCCGACAUAGGCUCAUCCGAUAGCGCGAGGCCCGAAGGUCCCCCUCUUUCCCCCGUAGGGCGUAUGCGGUAUUAGCCUGGGUUUCCCCAGGUUAUCCCCCACUACCGGGCAGAUUCCUAUGCAUUACUCACCCGUCCGCCGCUCGCCACCAGGGAGCAAGCUCCCCGUGCUGCCGCUCGACUUGCAUGUGUUAGGCCUGCCGCCAGCGUUCAAUCUGAGCCANAAUCAAACUCUGA